RNAcentral lists this ribosomal RNA (492 nucleotides) under uncultured bacterium. Its description in RNAcentral is "partial 16S ribosomal RNA". It matches the Rfam family "Bacterial small subunit ribosomal RNA", at positions 29 to 507 of the family's 1533-position model. The record is from RNAcentral.
AGUGAACGCUGGCGGUAGGCCUAACACAUGCAAGUCGAACGGCAGCACAGUAAGAGCUUGCUCUUACGGGUGGCGAGUGGCGGACGGGUGAGGCAUACAUCGGAAUCUACUUUUUCGUGGGGGAUAACGUAGGGAAACUUACGCUAAUACCGCAUACUACCUACGGGUGAAAGCAGGAGAUCUUCGUACCUUUCCCGAUUGAAUGAGCCGGUGUCGGAUUGGCUAGUUGGGGGGGUAACGGCCCACCAAGGCAACGAUACGAAGCUGGUCUGAGAGGGUGACCGGCCACACGGUAACGGAGACACGGUCCAGACUCCUACGGGAGGCAGCAGUGGGGAAAUUUGAGCAAUGGGCGCAAGCCUGACGCAGCCACGCCGCGUGGGUGAGGAAGGCCUUCGGUUUGUAAAACUCUUUUAUGGGGGAAGAAAAGAAGGGGAAGUACCCCCGCCUGUCUUGACGGUACCUAAUCAAAAAGCCACGGCUAACUACGUG